Nematostella vectensis (starlet sea anemone) is the source of this 599-nucleotide long non-coding RNA. RefSeq lists it as uncharacterized. The transcript has 3 exons. The record is from RefSeq and is a predicted model, not a curated record. Lineage: Eukaryota; Metazoa; Cnidaria; Anthozoa; Actiniaria; Edwardsiidae.
UGUUAGUCACGUGACGGGGGAUAAUUACUUUGAUUGGCCGAGAGUGUUAUAUAAACCGCCUUUGCGCUGGAUGAGGUACAACUUGAGGAUUUUCUCAGAAGGCUGCUCAUCAUCGUUCAAAUGGCAUCAAAAACACUUCUCGUGUGUCUACUCGUGACCUUCAUGGUCUUGUCUUUCUACACACAAGAAAGCUCCGCAGGCCCACCACAAGGAUUACGGUGGGGCAAGAGAUGGGAGAACCCCUCCGAGAAACAAGUCAGAGAAAACGCUGAGAGAGAAGUACAGGAUUUCAAGGAUUACUUCAAGAAGAAAUACAACAGAGAUCUUGAUAUUUAAAUGAAGAAAUCAACAGCAAGAUUUCACCAACAAUAGAGUCGUCACGCGUUAUUGCAAUCGUUGUGUGUCACACAUACAUUACCCAUUCCUUUGUCACGCCAGCAGGUGUGACGUCAUACCCCAACCCUACAAAGACUGGAUUGGACCUGAAUAAUCGAAUGAUCAAAAAUGUAUUUAUGUAAGAAAACACGUAGUUUAGAAAUUAGCCAGAAGAGAACUAUUGAAUGAAUACAAGCUAAUAAAAGCUUAUUUAAAAAGAAAAA